This 484-nucleotide ribosomal RNA is filed under the name uncultured bacterium. Its description in RNAcentral is "partial 16S ribosomal RNA". It matches the Rfam family "Bacterial small subunit ribosomal RNA", at positions 30 to 507 of the family's 1533-position model. The record is from RNAcentral.
AGUGAACGCUGGCGGCAGGCCUAACACAUGCAAGUCGAGCGGCAGCGCGGGGGCAACCCUGGCGGCGAGCGGCGGACGGGUGAGGAAUUCGUCGGAAUCUGCCUUUUUGUGGGGGAUAACGUAGGGAAACUUACGCUAAUACCGCAUACGUCCUACGGGAGAAAGGGGGGGACCGCAAGGCCUCACGCAGAAAGAUGAGCCGACGACCGAUUAGCUAGUUGGUGGGGGAAAGGCCCACCAAGGCGACGAUCGGUAGCUGGUCUGAGAGGAUGAGCAGCCACCCUGGGACUGAGCCACGGCCCAGACUCCUACGGGACGCAGCCGUGGGGAAUAUUGGACUAUGGGCGCGAACCUGACCCAACCGUGCCGCGUGUGUGAAGAAGGCCUUCGGGUUGUAAAGCACUUUUGUCCGGAAAGAAAUCCCUGGAGCUAAUACCUUCGGGGGAUGACGGUACCGGAAGAAUAAGCACCGGCUAACUUCGUG